Molecule: ribosomal RNA, 509 nt
Filed under: uncultured bacterium
Lineage: Bacteria
Description: bacterial SSU rRNA
Rfam family: Bacterial small subunit ribosomal RNA
Source: RNAcentral
UGGCUCAGAACGAACGCUGGCGGCGCGUUUAAGCAUGCAAGUCGAGCGGCAAGGGCCUUCGGGCCCCUAGAGCGGCGGACGGGUGAGUAACACGUGGACAAUCUGCCCCCCGGCCCGGGAUAGCCCAGGGAAACCUGGAUUAAUACCGGAUGAGACGGGACCCGCGAUGGCGGGACCCGGGAAAGGCGCUGCGGCGCCGCCGGGGGAUGAGUCUGCGUCCCAUUAGCUAGACGGCGGGGUAACGGCCCACCGUGGCGACGAUGGGUAGCCGGCCUGAGAGGGUGGACGGCCACAUUGGAACUGAGACACGGUCCAGGCUCCUACGGGAGGCAGCAGCUAAGAAUCUUCCGCAAUGGGCGAAAGCCUGACGGGAAGCGACGCCGCGUGAACGAAGAAGGCCGUGAGGUUGUAAAGUUCUUUUCGGGAGGGGGAACAACCGUGGCAGGGAAUGGCCGCGGGAUGACGUGAAUCCCGGAAUAAGCCCCGGCUAACUACGUGCCAGCCGCCGC